This 1737-nucleotide ribosomal RNA is filed under the name Salmonella enterica subsp. enterica serovar Tennessee. RNAcentral describes it as "bacterial LSU rRNA". It matches the Rfam family "Bacterial large subunit ribosomal RNA", at positions 1220 to 2925 of the family's 2925-position model. Lineage: Bacteria; Pseudomonadati; Pseudomonadota; Gammaproteobacteria; Enterobacterales; Enterobacteriaceae. The record is from RNAcentral.
GUUGUUGGGUAGGGGAGCGUUCUGUAAGCCUGUGAAGGUGUGUGAGGGAUGCUGGAGGUAUCAGAAGUGCGAAUGCUGACAUAAGUAACGAUAAAGCGGGUGAAAAGCCCGCUCGCCGGAAGACCAAGGGUUCCUGUCCAACGUUAAUCGGGGCAGGGUGAGUCGACCCCUAAGGCGAGGCCGAAAGGCGUAGUCGAUGGGAAACGGGUUAAUAUUCCCGUACUUGGUGUUACUGCGAAGGGGGGACGGAGAAGGCUAUGUUGGCCGGGCGACGGUUGUCCCGGUUUAAGCGUGUAGGUGUGUGUUCCAGGUAAAUCCGGUUCACUUUAACACUGAGGCGUGACGACGAGGCACUACGGUGCUGAAGCAACAAAUGCCCUGCUUCCAGGAAAAGCCUCUAAGCAUCAGGUAACAUCAAAUCGUACCCCAAACCGACACAGGUGGUCAGGUAGAGAAUACCAAGGCGCUUGAGAGAACUCGGGUGAAGGAACUAGGCAAAAUGGUGCCGUAACUUCGGGAGAAGGCACGCUGACAUGUAGGUGAAGUGAUUUACUCAUGGAGCUGAAGUCAGUCGAAGAUACCAGCUGGCUGCAACUGUUUAUUAAAAACACAGCACUGUGCAAACACGAAAGUGGACGUAUACGGUGUGACGCCUGCCCGGUGCCGGAAGGUUAAUUGAUGGGGUCAGCGCAAGCGAAGCUCCUGAUCGAAGCCCCGGUAAACGGCGGCCGUAACUAUAACGGUCCUAAGGUAGCGAAAUUCCUUGUCGGGUAAGUUCCGACCUGCACGAAUGGCGUAAUGAUGGCCAGGCUGUCUCCACCCGAGACUCAGUGAAAUUGAACUCGCUGUGAAGAUGCAGUGUACCCGCGGCAAGACGGAAAGACCCCGUGAACCUUUACUAUAGCUUGACACUGAACAUUGAGCCUUGAUGUGUAGGAUAGGUGGGAGGCUUUGAAGUGUGGACGCCAGUCUGCAUGGAGCCGACCUUGAAAUACCACCCUUUAAUGUUUGAUGUUCUAACGUGGACCCGUUAUCCGGGUUGCGGACAGUGUCUGGUGGGUAGUUUGACUGGGGCGGUCUCCUCCUAAAGAGUAACGGAGGAGCACGAAGGUUGGCUAAUCCUGGUCGGACAUCAGGAGGUUAGUGCAAUGGCAUAAGCCAGCUUGACUGCGAGCGUGACGGCGCGAGCAGGUGCGAAAGCAGGUCAUAGUGAUCCGGUGGUUCUGAAUGGAAGGGCCAUCGCUCAACGGAUAAAAGGUACUCCGGGGAUAACAGGCUGAUACCGCCCAAGAGUUCAUAUCGACGGCGGUGUUUGGCACCUCGAUGUCGGCUCAUCACAUCCUGGGGCUGAAGUAGGUCCCAAGGGUAUGGCUGUUCGCCAUUUAAAGUGGUACGCGAGCUGGGUUUAGAACGUCGUGAGACAGUUCGGUCCCUAUCUGCCGUGGGCGCUGGAGAACUGAGGGGGGCUGCUCCUAGUACGAGAGGACCGGAGUGGACGCAUCACUGGUGUUCGGGUUGUCAUGCCAAUGGCACUGCCCGGUAGCUAAAUGCGGAAGAGAUAAGUGCUGAAAGCAUCUAAGCACGAAACUUGCCCCGAGAUGAGUUCUCCCUGAGACUUAGAGUCUCCUGAAGGAACGUUGAAGACGACGACGUUGAUAGGCCGGGUGUGUAAGCGCAGCGAUGCGUUGAGCUAACCGGUACUAAUGAACCGUGAGGCUUAACCUUACAACGCCGAAG